CAGUCGCCGCGGUAAUACGAAGGGUGCAAGCGUUACUCGGAAUUACUGGGCGUAAAGCGUGUGUAGGUGGUUGUUUAAGUCUGUCGUGAAAGCCCUGGGCUCAACCUGGGAAUUGCGAUGGAUACUGGGCGACUAGAGUGCGGUAGAGGAUAGUGGAAUUUCCGGUGUAGCAGUGAAAUGCGUAGAGAUCGGAAGGAACAUCUGUGGCGAAGGCGACUAUCUGGGCCAACACUGACACUGAGACACGAAGGCGUGGGGAGCAAACAGGAUUAGAUACCCCAGUAGUCCCUGUCUCUUAUAC
Molecule: ribosomal RNA, 301 nt
Filed under: uncultured bacterium
Lineage: Bacteria
Description: partial 16S ribosomal RNA
Rfam family: Bacterial small subunit ribosomal RNA
Source: RNAcentral